This 137-nucleotide ribosomal RNA is filed under the name uncultured bacterium. Its description in RNAcentral is "partial 16S ribosomal RNA". It matches the Rfam family "Bacterial small subunit ribosomal RNA", at positions 355 to 509 of the family's 1533-position model. The record is from RNAcentral.
UGGGGAAUAUUGCACAAUGGGGGAAACCCUGAUGCAGCGACGCCGCGUGAGCGAAGAAGUAUUUCGGUAUGUAAAGCUCUAUCAGCAGGGAAGAAAAUGACUGUACCUGACUAAGAAGCUCCGGCUAAAUACGUGCC